This 407-nucleotide unclassified non-coding RNA is filed under the name soil metagenome. RNAcentral's name for it is "partial contains 5.8S ribosomal RNA, internal transcribed spacer 2, and large subunit ribosomal RNA". The stretch from base 2 to 122 matches the Rfam family "5.8S ribosomal RNA", at positions 35 to 154 of the family's 154-position model. The record is from RNAcentral.
GGAUGAAGAACGCAGCGAAAUGCGAUAAGUAAUGUGAAUUGCAGAAUUCAGUGAAUCAUCGAAUCUUUGAACGCACCUUGCGCCCUUUGGCCAUUCCGAAGGGCAUGCCUGUUUGAGUAUCAUGAACACCUCAACUCUUCAUGGUUUUCCGUGAUGAGCUUGGACUUUGGGGGUCUUGCUGGCCUAUGGUCAGCUCCUCUAAAAUAAAUCAGCUUGCCAGUGUUUGGUGGGUAUCACAGGUGUGAUAACUAUCUACGCUUGUGGUUUUCCACCAGGUAACCUUCAGCAGUGGAGGUUCGCUGGAGCUCACAGAUGUGUCUCUCCUCAGUGAGGACAGCUCUUUGAAUGUUUGAUCUCAAAUCAGGUAGGACUACCCGCUGAACUUAAGCAUAUCAAUAAGCGGAGGA